AGAAGUUGAUGGAUGAGAAUGUAAUCCAGAUUCAACAGUCCAGGGAUAUGGGAGAUGAUGUGAAUGUCAUUAUACUGGUGUUCAAGACCCUUGAGCGGGUAGUCAUUCAGUUUGGUAGCAGCAACAACAACAACAUCAAUAGAUCGGUAUCACCAUUGGUUAUACAGUUAGCAGGCCCUUUCCCCUAUGCAUCCGAUAAAGCUGUACCAUUU
This 212-nucleotide long non-coding RNA is filed under the name Lathyrus oleraceus (garden pea). RNAcentral describes it as "Pisum sativum (pea) long non-coding RNA (PSAT_LNC038591)". The record is from RNAcentral. Lineage: Eukaryota; Viridiplantae; Streptophyta; Magnoliopsida; Fabales; Fabaceae.